This 820-nucleotide ribosomal RNA is filed under the name uncultured bacterium. RNAcentral describes it as "bacterial SSU rRNA". It matches the Rfam family "Bacterial small subunit ribosomal RNA", at positions 636 to 1455 of the family's 1533-position model. The record is from RNAcentral.
UNUGACUUGAGUGCAGAAGGGGAGAGUGGAAUUCCAUGUGUAGCGGUGAAAUGCGUAGAUAUAUGGAGGANCACCAGUGGCGAAAGCGGCUCUCUGGUCUGUCACUGACGCUGAGGCUNGAAAGCGUGGGUAGCGAACAGGAUUAGAUACCCUGGUAGUNCACGCCGUAAACGAUGAGUGCUAGGUGUUAGGCCCUUUCCGGGGCUUAGUGCCGGAGCUAACGCAAUAAGCACUCCGCCUGGGGAGUACGACCGCAAGGUUGAAACUCAAAGGAAUUGACGGGGGCCCGCACAAGCGGUGGAGCAUGUGGUUUAAUUCGAAGCAACGCGAAGAACCUCACCAGGUCUUGACAUCCCGAUGCUAUUCUUAGAGAUAGGAAGUUACUUCGGUACAUCGGAGACAGGUGGUGCAUGGUUGUCGUCAGCUCGUGUCGUGAGAUGUUGGGUUAAGUCCCGCAACGAGCGCAACCCUUAUUGUUAGUUGCCAUCAUUAAGUUGGGCACUCUAGCGAGACUGCCGGUAAUAAACCGGAGGAAGGUGGGGAUGACGUCAAAUCAUCAUGCCCCUUAUGACCUGGGCUACACACGUGCUACAAUGGUCGGUACAACGAGUUGCGAGCCGGUGACGGCAAGCUAAUCUCUGAAAGCCGAUCUCAGUUCGGAUUGGAGGCUGCAACUCGCCUCCAUGAAGUCGGAAUCGCUAGUAAUCGCGGAUCAGCACGCCGCGGUGAAUACGUUCCCGGGCCUUGUACACACCGCCCGUCACACCACGAGAGUUUGUAACACCCGAAGUCGGUGAGGUAACCUUUUAGGGGCCAGCCG